GCUCCUUUCAUUUACUUUGUAUGCUGUUGAAGCAAUGAAAUUAACACGCAACAACGAAUGAAAUUAUCCAAAGAAGGAACAAAAGAGUUACAAAGAAUGGAUUUUUUUUCCAAGGUGAUGAGGAAUGAACACCCUUUGCCUCUUCAAACAAGAAAAUUUUGAACAAUACAUGAUAAUAUCUUUUACAAAUUGAAGAAAUUCUGCACACCAAAUGUUAGCUUGCCAAUGCAACUCUUGAUGAACUACUAAUUGUUGCAGUAGCAGUAGUAUGCAAAUCUACAAAUUCACCAUCCAACCCAGCCGCCCAUCUUCGGAGAAUCCUCAAAAGAGUAGCCGCUUUUCUUCUUGACCUCAUUGUCCCUGAACUCAUCAUUUCCCAUAUAAUUCUCUCAAUUCCAGCAAUUGCUGCUAGUUCUCCCACCAUUUCCGAUCCUCCUUUUCGACAAAUCGUAACAAGAGUCGCCACUGCACUCUCUCUAGCCGCAUCCGAUCCUUCCCUUAAUAACAUUCCUAAUUUCCUAAUUGCAAUAUAAGCCGCAGCAAUUGCUACUACUCCACCUCUUUUCACCACCACUUCAAGAAUCGCCACCGCCUCCUCCGGCAGCACAUUCAUAACUUCCUUCACUAUCUCCACCACCCCUGCGUCCACUAACCUCCCAACCGUUUCUCUAUCUCCCGCCAAAUUCAAAAUCGCCAUCAAAGCGUCCUUUUUUGAACACUUGUUCCCACUUUUAGCUAAAUCCAUCAGUCCCUUUAUGACGCGUGUUUUCCUUCCCAGUCGCUUCCGAUAUGAGUGCACACCCGAUAAGCUGAAUAAGGCAGCCGCCGCAUUGGCCUUUGCCUCCCACGUGGCACCCGACCGCAGCACCUCAAUAACGCUGUUUAUAGCUCCGUCAGUUUCCAUUAUCCUUGUUUUGUUUGCCUCAAGGAUGGAGAGGUUGAGAAUAGUUGUUACGGCGUUGACUUGCAAGUUCGGAAGCUCCGAACCUACAUCUGAGCCUAGGUAACGUACAAGCAAAGGAAUAACUCCAGCUUCGGCCAUAGAGGCUCGGCUAUCCGAGUUUGUUUUUGCCAGAGAACGAAGCUCAUAAACGACGCCGUUAGCUGCUUCAAAUGACUGUGAAAGAGAAAGCUUGUUAACCAAAAAAGACACCGUCAUCUUCGCAGCCUCAAUCGCUGCCUUGUUUCGUACAGCGCCGUUAACUUUUUGGUUAUUUUCCGCAGUGUCGAAAGGAAAUUUCUGCUCCCGACACCACAUGCCAAUAAGAUUCUUCAAGGCAAGGUGAGGGAUAAGGUUGCUGUGCGCCAACGUCUGACCUGUCUUUGGACACGUGUUGUGUCCAGAUUCAAUCCAAAGGGUGAUUGACUCCCGAUCGUAUGUCUGGCCGGUGGCUAGUACGACAGGGUCCCGCAUCAAUUCCAGGCUAAUCGGACACCGAAAGUCGGACGGAAUAAUGGCCUCUGACACCACCUUUCUCCGCCGGUGAUCGGAUAUGGGCGUUGAUGCUCCAUAGAGGACACAUUUCGCGUAGCGGACGAGUCCGAUCAAAGCAACAACCUCAGAUUCGGAUUCCUCGUCGAUCUGAUUUUGUACUUCGUCUUCGAGACUCUCGAUCUCCUCUUUACAGCUGGAAGAAUUGCGUAGGCCUAAUUUAUCAAAUAUCUCAGCGAGCUUGGAAUGAUCAGGCACUAUCUCUUUCUUGAUUCGAUCAAGCAUCGUUAACACCUGGUGCCUUAGAUUAUAAUCACUUGGAUCCAAGAAUACUUUUGCUUGCAAGCAUUGUUUUCUGAUCAAAAUGAACAGUUCGUGAAUAUCCUCGCUCAAAUCAACCUGUUCUGCAGGGAAAAUAUCCAAGAGUGUUGAUAAUUCAAGGGUUAGCUCGUGAAAGCUGCAAGCCACAGAUUCGGUUUGGAUUAGAAGCCACAUCCUGCUUCCAUUUGAGCAAUCCUCUAUCAGAGUUUUUAUUCUUUGUAGAACUAUGUACAUUUCUUCAAAGCAGAGGAGAGUUGGAGACAGAAAAGGAAUUGGGUUUCGAAGAAGCUCAUCGAAUAGGAUGGCGAGGAGCUUGGCUUUGCGUAUAAUGGAAAGAGAAUUGCGUUUUAGAAGGAAUGGUAUAGGCUUGAAAGAAGAGAUUUCUUGGGAUAGAAUAAGGAGAGACUGGACAAGUUUAAGGUCAAAGAAGUUAGGAGCAAUAAACGCCCCUGCCGACGGCCGGCGUUUUCUUGGCGGGAAAAUUUGUGGAGUCACCGUCAUGAAUCAAUAAUAAGCCAAAUGCCUUCAGAAAUCAAACAAAGGUAAUGGGGGUAGUUUUCUAUUUUUCUGGGUUGGGAAUGGCGUUUUGAUUGAAGAGAAAAUUGGUAUGGGGUUGCAGAAGAAGCUGAAUCUUAAGAAAGGUAAGAAGAAGAAGAAGAAAAGUCGAGUUUUAUUUUGAUAUGAUUUUGAGGUGUAGAGGGAUUCAUUCAAAAGGCUGCAAUAUUAGCCCUUAGAGCGAGUCCACCAAACAGAGAAGGCUCUCCUUUGACAGCCGCCGGCGGGUGUAAGUGAAUAAACAUUUAAAAUUAUUAACAAAUAUAAUAUUUAUUCAACGCAUGAAUUGGUAUGCACCAAACGUAUAUAUAAAUAUAUAUUGCAAUUACAAACACUGUUGGUAGAGGUGGUUGUGGUUAUGGAUCUUCAUCCAUUUGCUAAUAAACAAUUCAUGCAUUAUUUGUGUUUCUCUCUAAUGGGUAUUUAAAAUAUACUUUUCUUUUGUUGUUUUCUUUUAUCCCUUUUGCUUUUUUCAAAGAUGAAUCUUCUAAUAGAGAUUAUUUCGCUUCAAUGAUUAG
RNAcentral lists this unclassified non-coding RNA (2826 nucleotides) under Hevea brasiliensis (rubber tree). The record is from RNAcentral. Lineage: Eukaryota; Viridiplantae; Streptophyta; Magnoliopsida; Malpighiales; Euphorbiaceae.